This 912-nucleotide non-coding RNA is filed under the name Amblyglyphidodon aureus (golden damselfish). RNAcentral describes it as "partial 12S ribosomal RNA". It matches the Rfam family "Bacterial small subunit ribosomal RNA". Lineage: Eukaryota; Metazoa; Chordata; Actinopteri; Pomacentridae. The record is from RNAcentral.
CAUAAAGGCUUGGUCCUGACUUUACUAUCAGCUCUAGCUAAACUUACACAUGCAAGUAUCCGCACCCCUGUGAGAAUGCCCCACAGUUUCCCGCCCGGAAACAAGGAGCCGGUAUCAGGCACGGUCCAUACCAGCCCAUGACACCUUGCUCAGCCACACCCUCAAGGGACAUCAGCAGUGAUAGACAUUAAGCCAUGAGUGAAAACUUGACUUAGUUAAAGCUUAAAGAGCCGGUAAAACUCGUGCCAGCCACCGCGGUUAUACGAGAGGCUCAAGUUGAUAGACAACGGCGUAAAGAGUGGUUAAGGGAAACUUUCAAACUAAAGCCGAACGUCCUCAAAGCUGUUUAACGCUCCCGAGUUAAGAAGCCCCAUUACGAAAGUAGCUUUACCUCACCUGACCCCACGAAAGCUGUGAAACAAACUGGGAUUAGAUACCCCACUAUGCUCAGCCCUAAAAUUUGAUAGGCCCCUACGCCCCCUAUCCGCCCGGGUACUACGAGCACCAGCUUGAAACCCAAAGGACUUGGCGGUGCUUCACAUCCGUCUAGAGGAGCCUGUUCUAGAACCGAUACCCCCCGUUAAACCUCACCCUCCCUUGCUUUUAUACCGCCUAUAUACCGCCGUCGUCAGCCUACCCUGUGAAGGCCUAGAAGUGAGCAAAAUUGGUAAGACCCAAAACGUCAGGUCGAGGUGUAGUGAAUGAGAGGGGAAGAAAUGGGCUACAUUUCCUAAGUUAGGAAAUACGAAUAAUGAACUGAAAUAAGCAUUUGAAGGUGGAUUUAGCAGUAAGCAGAAAAAUAGAGUGUUUCGCUGAAGUCAUGGCAAUAAAGCACGCACACAUCGCCCGUCACUCUCCCCGAGCUAUCCUACUAACUAGUACCUAAAAAAUUAUACCUGCAAAGGGGAGGCA